Molecule: long non-coding RNA, 2855 nt
Organism: Poecile atricapillus (Black-capped chickadee)
Lineage: Eukaryota; Metazoa; Chordata; Aves; Passeriformes; Paridae
Exons: 3
Source: RefSeq, a predicted model, not a curated record
CCGCGGGUGCAUGGCAGGGGUGACUGAGGGAACCUGUCAGGAGUGGGGGAGUGGGAGAGGCCGUGCUCGGGCCGCACCGGCUGCAGCAGACCCAGAGCCGCCUCUGGCCCUGGCACUUCCGGCCGCGAGCUCAGAGAGGCUUUUAUUUUAGAUUCCAAUGCCACAGGAUAUCCCAUUGGCUGGAUGGAUGCAGCUGGAUCGAUUCUGACACCAGGAUUGACAUCCCUUCAGCUGGAUCAAUACUAAAACCAGAUCAGAGUUAUCAAAUCAGAUUCUGAUCUCACCCAGUCACAGAUGCCCAGGAACAUUCCACACUCUGUAAGCUUUGGUGACCAUUACCUCAAAUUUUGUCUGCUUCUUCUCUUCAGCAUCCCAUGCCAGCCAGCUGCUCCAGAGUGGGAUGCUGUCUGCUUCUUAAAAGAAACACAUCUCAGAGUGUGAUCUUGACCUGGGGUAAUUUUCUAAUUUUUUGCAGCCAAAAUCUGUACCCCUUCCUGCAUGCUGCAUGUCCCUGGUGCAAAAUCCACACUGUUCCUAGACAAGGGACCACUUUUACCUGUCACAUACCAUCACUUUCCCCAUCCCUCCACCCCACUCCCUGUAGCUGUUCCUUACCCUUGCCAUAGACAGGGAAUUCCCUGGUCCUCCCUGUCGUUGUGCCUUCUCACAGCACAGCCAUCAUCUGAGCUAAAAAAAAAACAACCCAAGCAAUUUCAGGCAAUCUGGGUCGUACCGUGUUAAGAGAAUUUGAUUCUUUGGUUCAUGCAGAAGGACUGCUGAUGGCUCACAGACAUUUCUUUUGUACAAAAUUCCCAGUUCUCUAUCUGGAAUUUCUAACACAGCCCUGUUCCACUUGUGCAACCCUUCUGCUCUGGUCUCUUUAUUCAGGCAGCCUUAUCCUAUUUAGAGAAAUCCUGAAAGUAGGAUACGUACAAGAAGGGCAUCAAACUGUGUGAAUGUGUCCAAAGGAGGGCCACUAUGAAGCCGAAAAACCUCGAGGGCCAAAUUUACAAGGAAGGGCUGAGGUAAAUUUGCUUGUUCAGCCUGGAGAAGAGCAGGUGAGGGGUGACCCCAUUGCUUCCUCAUGGGGGCCAGCAGCUGGGGAAGUUCAGGUUGACAUUAGGAAAAGGUUCUUCACUGAGUGUGGUGGGGCACUGCAAGGACUUAAAGAGCAUAAUCACCUGUCUCAAAUGCUUCUGCUACAGAAGGACUUUGCUGAGAGAUAAGCACAGAUGGGAGCAACAGGAUGGCUCUAACUCUAAGCCUGGCAUAGCUGAGAUCUGGCUAGCACAUCCUGGGUAAUGGAUGCAGACAAAAAUUCCCACUGUGGCAAUCUGUGUAAAGAAGCAACUGCUAAUAGGGUCGAAGUUCCCCACAAAUUACAGAACAGAUUGUACCUGUGACCACUGAAGCCCCCACCACCAAAUAUGCCUACAUACAUACCUGAAACCUGGACUGUAAAUUAGGCCACUGUGGAGGGAACUUGACAUAAGGUAAAGGUGUUACUGUUGUCUCAGUGUUAUCUCAGGCCUAGGGAGAGCUAAACAGACCUGGGAGAGAAGAACAUGUCACUAAUAAUGGACAUAAAGAAUGAAGCCACAAGAAAAGCCAACUCAGCAACUGUGCUGAAAUCAGCUCUGAAUGGGUGAAAGGUAAUUCUGCCAGGGGAGAUUGUGACUACAAUUCAAAACCCACUGACUUGAAAGAAGAGAGACUGAGCAUGGAACUAAUUAGCAUGAGAGGAGAUGGAAUCAUUUUACCAAUAGAAUAAGAGAACUGUGUGACUAGUUCUGAGAGACUGGAAUGUUAAUGGAUAAUGACUCAAACAAUCUGCCAUUUGCAGUAACCGCCCAGGUGCAGAGGAGAUGCACACCCAUCACCCAUCACUCAAGGCAACAGCUGAGUGUUGAACAAGGGAAGAAGCUGCUAAGAGGCAAAUCCUGUGAGGUGGAAUAGUGCAUUUCAUCAUGCCAGUGUCCAUACACAAGUGGCUCAGCUGUGAAGCCUCCCCUCUGGGAGAGUAGGACAUUCACCGUAGGUCUGAUGGUGUUAAUUUCUGCUGAUGGGCUAUAAUUGACACAACUGAUACUAUACCGGUGUAAGAGCAGCUGUAAAGUCUCAGAAAUUGUCAAAAACAGUCUAAGAUUCCAAAAGUAUCCCUUGAUCCACAGCAUUACAUCACCCAUUGUAAAACUCACCAUGCCAGGGCAGGUACUUGGGCAUUCUCACAAGCCUGAGCCUAUAUUAACCCACCAGAUUUUGUGUUCCAGGGGCUUCCUCCACCCCAAAUGGAUCAAGAUUGCAACCAUCACUUUGACAAGACUGUAACCAACACGUUGACCAAUGGACAUAAAAAUUGCAAGAAUCAAAUCUUGCCACAGAAUCCACAGGCGGUGACCAUGUACCUGUCUACACUUACCCUUUCUUUCUCUUUCUUUUCUUUACCUUAUACAUUUUCUUAAAUGUUAUUUUUAUACUUCCAUAUUGCAGCAUUUCUAACGAAAAUGGCUACAUUUUAAAAUUUGCCAAGGACCUUAUUUUACCAUAAUGUUCUAAAGUUUGCAAGUAAAAGUUUGUUAUUGAACCUCAGGAGGAUUUUGUUGUUUCUCCUGCACACUGCCCAGAGUACACCCCUAAACACACCAAACAACACACCCAUAAACCCGCCAAGCAGUCUGGGGCAUAACACCAAUGAGCACUAAUUAAUUAAUUACUUACUUAAUUUUUUUGUUUGCUAAAAUGUGUGGGUGGUGAAAAGUCUUGAACAACCUCAGGACUCCCACUGCUGAGAAGCCCAGGAUGAUUAAGGACAAACAGGAUGCCACUGGAUCCUUGACUGUCUUCUGCUUGAUCUG